RNAcentral lists this ribosomal RNA (497 nucleotides) under uncultured bacterium. Its description in RNAcentral is "partial 16S ribosomal RNA". It matches the Rfam family "Bacterial small subunit ribosomal RNA", at positions 28 to 507 of the family's 1533-position model. The record is from RNAcentral.
GAUGAACGCUGGCGGCGUGCCUAAUACAUGCAAGUCGAGCGAACGGACGAGAAGCUUGCUUCUCUGAUGUUAGCGGCGGACGGGUGAGUAACACGUGGAUAACCUACCUAUAAGACUGGGAUAACUUCGGGAAACCGGAGCUAAUACCGGAUAAUAUUUUGAACCGCAUGGUUCAAAAGUGAAAGACGGUCUUGCUGUCACUUAUAGAUGGAUCCGCGCUGCAUUAGCUAGUUGGUAAGGUAACGGCUUACCAAGGCAACGAUGCAUAGCCGACCUGAGAGGGUGAUCGGCCACACUGGAACUGAGACACGGUCCAGACUCCUACGGGAGGCAGCAGUAGGGAAUCUUCCGCAAUGGGCGAAAGCCUGACGGAGCAACGCCGCGUGAGUGAUGAAGGUCUGCGGAUCGUAAAACUCUGUUAUUAGGGAAGAACAUAUGUGUAAGUAACUGUGCACAUCUUGACGGUACCUAAUCAGAAAGCCACGGCUAACUACGUG